This 1372-nucleotide ribosomal RNA is filed under the name uncultured bacterium. Its description in RNAcentral is "bacterial SSU rRNA". It matches the Rfam family "Bacterial small subunit ribosomal RNA", at positions 28 to 1381 of the family's 1533-position model. The record is from RNAcentral.
GAUGAACGCUGGCGGCGUGCCUAAUACAUGCAAGUCGAGCGAACGGACGAGAAGCUUGCUUCUCUGAUGUUAGCGGCGGACGGGUGAGUAACACGUGGAUAACCUACCUAUAAGACUGGGAUAACUUCGGGAAACCGGAGCUAAUACCGGAUAAUAUUUUGAACCGCAUGGUUCAAAAGUGAAAGACGGUCUUGCUGUCACUUAUAGAUGGAUCCGCGCUGCAUUAGCUAGUUGGUAAGGUAACGGCUUACCAAGGCAACGAUGCAUAGCCGACCUGAGAGGGUGAUCGGCCACACUGGAACUGAGACACGGUCCAGACUCCUACGGGAGGCAGCAGUAGGGAAUCUUCCGCAAUGGGCGAAAGCCUGACGGAGCAACGCCGCGUGAGUGAUGAAGGUCUUCGGAUCGUAAAACUCUGUUAUUAGGGAAGAACAUAUGUGUAAGUAACUGUGCACAUCUUGACGGUACCUAAUCAGAAAGCCACGGCUAACUACGUGCCAGCAGCCGCGGUAAUACGUAGGUGGCAAGCGUUAUCCGGAAUUAUUGGGCGUAAAGCGCGCGUAGGCGGUUUUUUAAGUCUGAUGUGAAAGCCCACGGCUCAACCGUGGAGGGUCAUUGGAAACUGGAAAACUUGAGUGCAGAAGAGGAAAGUGGAAUUCCAUGUGUAGCGGUGAAAUGCGCAGAGAUAUGGAGGAACACCAGUGGCGAAGGCGACUUUCUGGUCCGUAACUGACGCUGAUGUGCGAAAGCGUGGGGAUCAAACAGGAUUAGAUACCCUGGUAGUCCACGCCGUAAACGAUGAGUGCUAAGUGUUAGGGGGUUUCCGCCCCUUAGUGCUGCAGCUAACGCAUUAAGCACUCCGCCUGGGGAGUACGACCGCAAGGUUGAAACUCAAAGGAAUUGACGGGGACCCGCACAAGCGGUGGAGCAUGUGGUUUAAUUCGAAGCAACGCGAAGAACCUUACCAAAUCUUGACAUCCUUUGACAACUCUAGAGAUAGAGCUUUCCCCUUCGGGGGACAAAGUGACAGGUGGUGCAUGGUUGUCGUCAGCUCGUGUCGUGAGAUGUUGGGUUAAGUCCCGCAACGAGCGCAACCCUUAAGCUUAGUUGCCAUCAUUAAGUUGGGCACUCUAGGUUGACUGCCGGUGACAAACCGGAGGAAGGUGGGGAUGACGUCAAAUCAUCAUGCCCCUUAUGAUUUGGGCUACACACGUGCUACAAUGGACAAUACAAAGGGCAGCGAAACCGCGAGGUCAAGCAAAUCCCAUAAAGUUGUUCUCAGUUCGGAUUGUAGUCUGCAACUCGACUACAUGAAGCUGGAAUCGCUAGUAAUCGUAGAUCAGCAUGCUACGGUGAAUACGUUCCCGGGUCU